RNAcentral lists this transfer RNA (101 nucleotides) under Deltaproteobacteria bacterium. RNAcentral describes it as "tRNA-Leu". It matches the Rfam family "tRNA". From Rfam's summary of the family: Transfer RNA (tRNA) molecules are approximately 80 nucleotides in length. Their secondary structure includes four short double-helical elements and three loops (D, anti-codon, and T loops). Further hydrogen bonds mediate the characteristic L-shaped molecular structure. tRNAs have two regions of fundamental functional importance: the anti-codon, which is responsible for specific mRNA codon recognition, and the 3' end, to which the tRNAs corresponding amino acid is attached (by aminoacyl-tRNA synthetases). tRNAs cope with the degeneracy of the genetic code in two manners: having more than one tRNA (with a specific anti-codon) for a particular amino acid; and 'wobble' base-pairing, i.e. permitting non-standard base-pairing at the 3rd anti-codon position. The record is from RNAcentral. Lineage: Bacteria; Pseudomonadati; Myxococcota; Myxococcia.
GCAGGGGUAGCAAAGCCCGGUCAAAUGCGCAGGACUUAAGCCAGCGGCGGAAAUCCUGUGGGUCAGUCCCUUCGUGGGUUCGAAUCCCUCCCCCUGCAUCA